Molecule: ribosomal RNA, 253 nt
Filed under: uncultured bacterium
Lineage: Bacteria
Description: partial 16S ribosomal RNA
Rfam family: Bacterial small subunit ribosomal RNA
Source: RNAcentral
UACGUAGGGGGCAAGCGUUAUCCGGAAUUAUUGGGCGUAAAGAGCUCGUAGGCGGUUUGUCGCGUCUGCCGUGAAAGUCCGGGGCUCAACUCCGGAUCUGCGGUGGGUACGGGCAGACUAGAGUGAUGUAGGGGAGACUGGAAUUCCUGGUGUAGCGGUGAAAUGCGCAGAUAUCAGGAGGAACACCGAUGGCGAAGGCGACUACCUGGCCUGUUCUUGACGCUGAGGCGCGAAAGCUAGGGGAGCAAACGGG